This 521-nucleotide ribosomal RNA is filed under the name uncultured bacterium. RNAcentral describes it as "bacterial SSU rRNA". It matches the Rfam family "Bacterial small subunit ribosomal RNA", at positions 24 to 518 of the family's 1533-position model. The record is from RNAcentral.
UCAGGACGAACGCUGGCGGCGUGCCUAAUACAUGCAAGUCGAACGGUCUUUCUAUGGAAGCUUGCUUCCACUGAGAAGAUAGUGGCGAACGGGUGAGUAACACGUGGGUAACCUGCCCAUAAGAGGGGGAUAACAUCCGGAAACGGGUGCUAAUACCGCAUAGUUUUCUUGAUCGCAUGAUCGGGAAAGGAAAGACGGCCUUUGUGCUGUCGCUUAUGGAUGGACCCGCGGCGUAUUAGUUAGUUGGUGAGGUAACGGCUCACCAAGACGAUGAUACGUAGCCGACCUGAGAGGGUGAUCGGCCACAUUGGGACUGAGACACGGCCCAAACUCCUACGGGAGGCAGCAGUAGGGAAUCUUCCGCAAUGGACGAAAGCCUGACGGAGCAACGCCGCGUGAGUGAAAGAAGGUUUUCGGAUCGUAAAACUCUGUUGUCAGAGAAGAACAAGUUGGAGAGUAACUGCUCCAGCCUUGACGGUAUCUGACCAGAAAGCCACGGCUAACUACGUGCCAGCCGCGGC